Molecule: ribosomal RNA, 462 nt
Filed under: Escherichia coli
Lineage: Bacteria; Pseudomonadati; Pseudomonadota; Gammaproteobacteria; Enterobacterales; Enterobacteriaceae
Description: partial 23S ribosomal RNA
Rfam family: Bacterial large subunit ribosomal RNA
Source: RNAcentral
AUCAGGAGGUUAGUGCAAUGGCAUAAGCCAGCUUGACUGCGAGCGUGACGGCGCGAGCAGGUGCGAAAGCAGGUCAUAGUGAUCCGGUGGUUCUGAAUGGAAGGGCCAUCGCUCAACGGAUAAAAGGUACUCCGGGGAUAACAGGCUGAUACCGCCCAAGAGUUCAUAUCGACGGCGGUGUUUGGCACCUCGAUGUCGGCUCAUCACAUCCUGGGGCUGAAGUAGGUCCCAAGGGUAUGGCUGUUCGCCAUUUAAAGUGGUACGCGAGCUGGGUUUAGAACGUCGUGAGACAGUUCGGUCCCUAUCUGCCGUGGGCGCUGGAGAACUGAGGGGGGCUGCUCCUAGUACGAGAGGACCGGAGUGGACGCAUCACUGGUGUUCGGGUUGUCAUGCCAAUGGCACUGCCCGGUAGCUAAAUGCGGAAGAGAUAAGUGCUGAAAGCAUCUAAGCACGAAACUUGCC